UAUAGCCCUCUGAGAAACUUUAUACAGUUUUUUGUGGUAUUGUAUUCUCCUAAAUAUUGUGCAUGCUAAUAAACUUAUCUGGGGUCAGAGACAGAGCAGCCACAAUAUUAAACAUAGAAGUUAGGCAGUGGUAGCACACACCUUUAAUCCUAGCAUUCCAGAGGCAGAAAUCCAUCUGUUCAAGGAUACAGCCAAGCAUGGUGACUCAUGCCUUUAAUCCCAGAAAGCCAGCCUUUAAUCCCAGGGAGUGAUGGCAAAAACAGAAAGAUAUAUAAGGCGUGGAGACCAGAAACUAGAGGCAUUUGGCUGGUUAAGCAUUUGGCUGGUUGAGCAUUUGCCUGGUUAAUUGUUUGGCUGGUUAAGCAUUCAGGCUUCUAGCAGCAGUUCAGCUGAGAGCCAUUGGGAUGAGGACACAGAAGCUUCCAGUCUGAGGAAACAGAACCAGCUGAGGAAUUGGCAAGUACAAAUAAAAUAUCACCAUACUUGGACUUGCCUCUACUUGACGUGCCUCCUCAUGGGAUGCCUUGCCUUUGUGUGGGACCAAUUUACUUCAGAGAAGAGGAUGGGUAUUGAAGACAUUCCAUGUGGAGUUUAUCUUCUUCUUGGCAAAAGUAGCCAUUUGGUCAAGAAACUGUUCUUGCCCGGACUGCUUGACAAAAUGUUGUAUCGACUGGACAUGCAGGACCCAUAGGAAGGUGACCACUGAACUUUGCAAGGCGAGAUGGUCCUUCAGGUUCCUGCUUCUCAGAGGAGACUGCCAGAUAUUCUACAGGACACAGGGAAAAGUGAAUGAGAGACUAGGCCUAUGGGCUGAAGAAUGGAUGCCCCAACACUGCAGAGGAACUUUGAUGACUGUCCAGGCAGGCAGCUGUCUCUGUCUUUUCCAGAGUUUUGGAAGUUUCUUACAAUGUUCUUCCUGUUUUCUUAGGUACUAUUAUAUCCUUCUGAGAUUUUUGAUGUAUUUGAAACCUAGAUAGUUAUAAUAUGGUUUUCAUUGGUUAUGAUAAGAGAUAAGGUAGAUAUGAAAUUUUGGACUCACAAAUAUAGGAUAGAUAAAAUAUUUUCUUUAAUUUUACAAAAUACAAAUAGACUAGAUACUAUAAUUGUAAUUCUUGCUUGAUAUAUGUAAUUUUACUAGGUUAAAGUUAAAACCUUCCUUUUGUUUGGACAGAAAAGGGGAAGUGAUGGGAGAAUGUCUUUCUGUAUGCUGUGAAUAUGUGUUGCUCUGAUUGGUUGAUAAGUAAAGCAGUUUGGCCUAUGACAAGGCAGCUUAGAGGCAGGUGGCAAAUUCAAAGGGAGUGACAGGAAGAAGGCCGAGAGAGAUGCCAGCCCACCCACCAUCCAAGAAGCAGCAUGUAAUGGCACACAGGUAAAGUCAUGGAACAUGUGGUGACAUAUAGAUUAAGAGAAAUGGGCUGAGUUUAAAUGUAAGAGCUAGUCAGUGGUAGGCCUCACCAAUGGCCAAGCAGUUUUUUUUUAAAUACAUUUUUUAUUAAGAGAUUUUUCUAUUCAUUUUGCAUACCAACCACAGAUUACUCUGUCCUCCCUCCUCUCGCUCCCCCAGCCUUACCCCCCACCCCAACCUCCAUUCCCACCUCCUCCAAGGCAAGGUUUCCUCCCAUGAGGAGUCAGCAGAGCCUGGUACAUUCAGUUGAGGCAGGUCCAAGCCCCUCCUCCCUGCACUAAGGCUGCACAAAGUGUCUCACCAUAGGCACUAGGUUCCAAAAAGCUGGCUCAUGCACUAGGGACAGGUCCCGAUCCCACUGCCUGGGGCCCCCCUAUACUGGCCAAACAGUUUUAAUUAGUAUAAGUCUCUGCUUGUUUACUUGAGUCUGAGUGGCUGUGGACCAGGCAGGACACAGGAAAACUUCAGCUAAAUGUAACAUAGCUCAUCCUUGGCCUUGGGAGGGCUUGACUUACAAAGCACCAAAGAAACAUGACUACGCUUGUCAUGAUAGGCUAUUACAGUCUAUGACUGCCUUUCUACCCUAUGUCCCACGCCAGCUCCAGGGUAUAGAUAGAUCUUUGCUGCUAAAUUUAAAGCAAGAGAAUAUUGCUUAGCUUAAUUUUUUUGGUGAGGUUUUAGCUUGUGUUUCAUUUGCUUUGGUUUUUGGUUUUCUUUGUUUUUGUUUGAGGUUUUCUUAUUUAUUUGUUCUUUCUUUCGUUCUUGUCAUUGAAUUGAUAUUUUGCUGAUUCUGUACACUAUAUAUAAUGACUGUCAUUAUAAGCUCCAUUGAGUAAAAUGACUGUAUUUUUAUGAAUAUAAAAGCAAUUUCCCACUCUUC
Molecule: long non-coding RNA, 2285 nt
Organism: Peromyscus eremicus (cactus mouse)
Lineage: Eukaryota; Metazoa; Chordata; Mammalia; Rodentia; Cricetidae
Exons: 3
Source: RefSeq, a predicted model, not a curated record